Molecule: ribosomal RNA, 467 nt
Filed under: uncultured bacterium
Lineage: Bacteria
Description: partial 16S ribosomal RNA
Rfam family: Bacterial small subunit ribosomal RNA
Source: RNAcentral
GACGAACGCUGGCGGCGUGCUUAACACAUGCAAGUCGAACGGAAAGGCCUCUUUCGGGGGGUACUCGAGUGGCGAACGGGUGAGUAACACGCGUGUAACCUGCCCUUGACUCUGGGAUAACUUCAGGAAACUGGGGCUAAUACCGGAUAGGAGCUCCUGCUGCAUGGUGUGGGUUGGAAAGUUUCGGCGGUUUGGGAUGGACUCGCGGCUUAUCAGCUUGUUGGUGGGGUAGUGGCUUACCAAGGCUUUGACGGGUAGCCGGCCUGAGAGGGGGACCGGCCACAUUGGGACUGGGAUACGGCCCAGGCUCCUACGGGAAGCAGCAGUUGGGAAUAUUGCAAAAUGGGUGGGAGCCUGAUGCAGCAACGCCGUGUGCGGGAUGACGGCCUUCGGGUUGUAAACCGCUUUCGCUCAUGACGAAGCUUUGUGUGACGGUAGUGGGUAAAGAAGCACCGGCUAACUACGUG